UGCUAAUAGUGUCUAGCACUCUCUUUUGAGGUCAGGAAAAAUUCUUCUUAGAGGGACUGGUCGACUCUUAGUUGCACGAAAAAGAGCAAUAACAGGUCUGUGAUGCCCUUAGAUGUUCUGGGCCGCACACGCGCUACACUGAAUAGAUCAACGUGUUCCCCCUUCCCGAGAGGGACGGGUAAACCGCUGAACCCUAUUCGUGGUAGGGAUCGGGGCUUGCAAUUGUUCCCCGUAAACCAGGAAUUCCUAGUAGGCGCAAGUCAUAAGCUUGUGUCGAUUACGUCCCUGCCCUUUGUACACACCGCCCGUCGCUACUACCGAUUGAACGUUUUAGUGAGGUCCUCGGACUGUUUGGUAGGCGGAUCGCUCUGCCUGCCUGGCGGGAAAACAACCAAACUGUAGCGUUUAAAGGAAGUAAAAGUCGUAACAAGG
Molecule: ribosomal RNA, 432 nt
Filed under: Ctenocalanus vanus
Lineage: Eukaryota; Metazoa; Arthropoda; Copepoda; Calanoida; Calanidae
Description: SSU rRNA
Rfam family: Eukaryotic small subunit ribosomal RNA
Source: RNAcentral